AUGCUUAUCAUUAUGAAGAACUUGAGAGAUCCAAAAACCAAGAUCUAUCCCUCAACUACGAGGGGAGGUAAGGAACUGCCAUCUAGCUCUACACUUGAUUCACCUUCUGUUCUGAGUAAGCUUGCGACACCUACACCUGCUUCUACUAUUCGUUCUGAUAUGUCACAUGCUAUUGAUGAUGCCACUUCUGCUAUGCAUGAUACUUAUGAUGAAACUACCUCUAUGCCUGAUACUACUAUGCCACUUAGUGCUUUUCUUGAUGAACAACUUGCUAGGGCUAGAGAAAUUGAAAAUAUUGAAUCUGAUGAUACUGAUGAAAGUGAUGAUGAAGAACCACUUGCCAUUCCUAAGGGUUAUGUUUUUGAUCAAGAUGCUUCUUUAGCUAUUUUAGCUUGCAGAAAUAGAACCGAACUUAAUAGAUUAUUAGCUAAAUGGAGUAAGCAAUCUCUAAAUGCUAGAAUGAAACCUGACCCUGCUUCUGCUACUUCACCUAUCUUUGUUACUGAUAAGGAUUAUGAAUUCUCUGUUGAUCCUGAUAUAAUUACUUUGUUUGAAUCUAAGCCAUUUCAUGGUUAUGAAUCUGAAACUGUUGUGGCAGAUCUUACUAAAUUGAAUGAUAUAGCCACCCUAUUCAAUAAAGAUGAGAGAACUUGCUACUUCUAUAUCCUUAAAAUAUUUCCAUUCUAA
Molecule: ribosomal RNA, 687 nt
Filed under: Triticum aestivum (bread wheat)
Lineage: Eukaryota; Viridiplantae; Streptophyta; Magnoliopsida; Poales; Poaceae
Description: partial small subunit ribosomal RNA
Source: RNAcentral